This 375-nucleotide ribosomal RNA is filed under the name uncultured eukaryote. Its description in RNAcentral is "partial 18S ribosomal RNA". It matches the Rfam family "Eukaryotic small subunit ribosomal RNA", at positions 592 to 976 of the family's 1831-position model. The record is from RNAcentral.
CAAUAGCGUAUAUUUAAGUUGUUGCAGUUAAAAAGCUCGUAGUUGGAUUUCGGUUAAGAGCGACCGGUCCGCCGUUUGGUGUGCACUGGUUGGUUUUAACUUCCUGUAGAGGACGUGCUCUGGGUUUAACGACCUGGACUCGGAGUCUACGUGGUUACUUUGAAAAAAUUAGAGUGUUCAAAGCGGGCUUACGCUUGAAUAUUUCAGCAUGGAAUAACACUAUAGGACUCCUGUCCUAUUUCGUUGGUCUCGGGACGGGAGUAAUGAUUAAGAGGAACAGUUGGGGGCAUUCGUAUUUCAUUGUCAGAGGUGAAAUUCUUGGAUUUAUGAAAGACGAGCUUCUGCGAAAGCAUUUGCCAAGGAUGUUCUCAUUAA